This is a non-coding RNA of Acanthosepion pharaonis, 111 nucleotides long. Lineage: Eukaryota; Metazoa; Mollusca; Cephalopoda; Sepiida; Sepiidae. The record is from the annotation of a GenBank genome assembly.
CGGCCACUUGACGUUGAAAUACCGGUUCCCGUGCGAUCACCGAAGUUAAGAAACAUCAAACCUGGUCAGCACCCAGAUGGGUGAACGCUUGAGAAUACAAGGUGUUGUAAG